This 202-nucleotide long non-coding RNA is filed under the name Coffea arabica (coffee). RNAcentral's name for it is "long non-coding RNA (CARA_LNC003511)". Lineage: Eukaryota; Viridiplantae; Streptophyta; Magnoliopsida; Gentianales; Rubiaceae. The record is from RNAcentral.
UGCUACUCUACGUUAUCCCUAUUUAAGCAACAAAAGAAAGAUGACUAAAGUCUAUCUAGGUGGUCCCCACACAUGUGGACAAAGCCUUCAAAGUACUUCUUGCCCCAAGUCUCUUUCCGUAGCUUUCUUUUAAGAGCCCAAUUGACUAGAUGCUUUCCACUAGCUUGUGGUCCCCACCAAUUCAAGGGCCCAAGCAUUGAAG